Molecule: long non-coding RNA, 274 nt
Filed under: Sinocyclocheilus anshuiensis
Lineage: Eukaryota; Metazoa; Chordata; Actinopteri; Cypriniformes; Cyprinidae
Description: lncRNA (ENSSANG00000009476.1)
Source: RNAcentral
GGAGGGAGGUGGUGGGUCUUCUGGAGGAGCUCUUACACAAGUACUGGGAGAAACAGCUCCCGGAUGGAGCAACACAGAGGAGAACAUUAGAGAGCUCCAGUCAAGAGCCUUCAUCUCAACUCGCUGUUAAAGGACAUCAUCUUCUGUUGUCCAGAGGUUCCAGCAGCAGAACCACACUCCUGUCAACAUGCAGCAAUAAUGUACAGGAGUCAAGUGCUUACAAGAUUAAUUUAAAUGGUGUUAUGACAAUCCAAGCAAAGCCACUGCAACAGAG